Molecule: long non-coding RNA, 2262 nt
Organism: Felis catus (domestic cat)
Lineage: Eukaryota; Metazoa; Chordata; Mammalia; Carnivora; Felidae
Exons: 3
Source: RefSeq, a predicted model, not a curated record
GGGCGAAGUCUGCUGCUGUAAUAGGUUAGCACACAAUUAGUGACUUGAGGAAGCACAGGGUUAUUACCUUCCCACCUGGCGGGUCAGAAGAGAAGGCCCGCAGCACAGGGGCAGGAUGGGCUAGGAGACCCCAGCGUGUCCAUUCCCUCUCCUUUGUAGGCCAGCACCUGGGCCCACAUGGGCCCCCCUACUUUCAGUUUCUUCUGUCUCCCACCCAUUCUUCGCAGCCCGAAGCCACAUUAGUUUUCCUAACACACAGCCUACUCAGAAACCUCUAGGGGCUCCCCGCUGCCUACCGAACAAGGCCUAGACUCUCUGAUAAUCGACGCCCUCCGCGAUGAAGUGGAAAAAGGUCCUUCCAGGCUUCUCUUGCACUCUUGGACUCUGUGUGUGCAUGUAGGUGUGCCCUAGACCUCCUGCUUGGAAUCUGGCUCCACAUCGUGUCUUGCCAAGUCUCGCCAAGCUUGGCUGUCUUCUCCCCAGUUUCUCUCCUGGUUGAAAUCCGACCCCCAUAUGGGAGGUAGCGGAAUGCCCCCCCCCCCAAGAUGGCCACACCAUAAUGCCUGGAGCCCGAGAAUGUGUCACCCCACAUGGUGGAAGGGACAGCGCAGAUGUGAUUAAAGUUACAGAUAUUGAGAUGAGGAGAUUAUUUUGUAUUAUUCAGGUGGGGCCCAGGGUAAUUAAAAGGGUCCUAAGAAGUGGAAGAAGGCAGAUGGGAAGGAUUUGACCUGCAGCUGGCUUUGGAGACAGAGGAAGGGCCACAAUCCAAGGAAUGCAGUGGCCUCUAGAAGCUUUGCAAAGCCUCUGAUUUACAGCCAGCAAGAAAACAGGAACCUCAGUCCCACAACUGGAAAGAACUGAAUUCCACUAACAGCCCAAGUGGAUGGGAAACAGACUCCCCCACCUAGUCCCCAGGAAAGAACUCAGCCCUGAUAAUGCCUUGGUGUUUGCCAUCGAGAUCCGUGCCGGCCUCCAGAACCACACAAGACAUUUGUGUUGCUUUAAGCCACUAAGUUUGUGGAAUUCGUGGGCAGCAAUAGGAAAGUGCCACAGUCUCCUUCGUGGGGUUUCUCCUUCAUUAGACACAGUUUCUGAUUCAGUGUCUCCGAGAAGCUCUCCUUGACCAUUGAAGCAAGAAGUGACCACUUUCCUUUCUUUUCAUCUCCCAGCAGCACUGUGUGGGACUUCUCUCUUGGUGAGAAAUGGUCUGGCAUCCUGGGUAUUUGCAGACGGGUCCUAAUUCUCCUGUUAGACUUCUAGCUCCUCGAGGAAAAGGUUGCCAACCCUCACCCCGGAGCCGCAGCAGUGGGCAUGAAAAAUUGGUUGGCUGAUGGGGCUGCUGAGGAGGCAAGACUGACACAACUUGGCAUUGGGUUACACGGGCGUUGGCAGGGAGGGGGAUCAACGACUCCUGCUUUCCUGGUACCUCCCCCAGAGAUCGCCACAGAGUCCGGGAUACGCAAACGCCUCCGCAAACCAACAAGGCCCUGGGCACCCAGCCUCGGAGCUCCUUUGUUCCCUCGGCCUCUCCCCCUCCCUCCCCCCUGCACCCUGGCCCGUGUGGAGCCCUCCUCGCCCGUCAAGAGCUCUCCUCCAGGCUGGUUCUUGCCUGUGUAAGAGGAGCACGGCAGGCAGGUGCAGGUGUGUGAGAAGACUGGAGGUGAAGACCGAGGCCACAAGACCAGGAUGUGGUUCGGAUGGAAGUGGGUUGUUUCCCAACAGCCCCCCCUGCACCUCUGCCGGCCUGUUAGCACGUCCCCUCCGGCCUGCGAUGGGACCCAGGCCGGACCCAGACAGACUCUGGGGAACCGAUGCCCGAGCGCAGCUCUGAGAUGCUCCACCAGCCAGAACCUGCCCCCAGACUUCUCUCUGAGUCUUGUCCCCUGGAUGUGCUUUUGAGAUUCCGGGAAGAGAAAGCUAUGAAUGAAUAGAGGCGGGGAGGAAGGAGAGACCUUACCCUGCCACUGUCAACUGAGCCACGACGGGGAUUGUGUCAGUCUUCGUUGGUCCUUAGCACCUAGAACACGGCUGGCACAGAAGAGGUGAGGCAUGAAUAUUGUCGAACGAUUUCGGGUAAUUGUGUCGUGUGUCUAUUUUCCAAAUGGUUCUGAUCCUUAGUGCUUUUCUCUACUCGUUGCUUUGAAAGCUUCCAUCACCCUGAUUUAAAAGAGCUCCCCAUGGGGCGCCUGGGUGGCGCAGUCGGUUGGGCGUCCGACUUCAGCCAGGUCACGAUCUCGCGGUCCAUGAGUUCGAGCCCCGCGU